RNAcentral lists this non-coding RNA (95 nucleotides) under Oribacterium parvum ACB1. Its description in RNAcentral is "Oribacterium sp. ACB1 Bacterial small subunit ribosomal RNA". It matches the Rfam family "Bacterial small subunit ribosomal RNA", at positions 1439 to 1533 of the family's 1533-position model. Lineage: Bacteria; Bacillati; Bacillota; Clostridia; Lachnospirales; Lachnospiraceae. The record is from Rfam by way of RNAcentral.
CCCAAGAGAGGGAGCUGCCGAAGGCAGGACUGAUGACUGGGGUGAAGUCGUAACAAGGUAGCCGUAUCGGAAGGUGCGGCUGGAUCACCUCCUUU